AAUAAACAUAUAUAUAGGAGAGAAAGUAAAUAGCAUAACCAACAUAUAAACUAAAAUGUCUUCGCUCAAGUUUGUUUUCCUUUUCUCUUUUCUGUUGAUAAGCACUUACUUGCAGGUGAAAGUGGAAGCAAGAGGUCCAAUAGUCUCAUUUCGAUGCAAGACUAAUGCUGAUUGCAUAACCAAUCCUGGAUGUGGGCCACCACUUUGCCAUGCUACGUCUACUUGCGUAAAUACAAUUUGUACUUGUCCAGGAAGAGCUUCUUUAAAAGAAGCUACUCUUAGAAAUCAAGAAGUAACAAUGCAUUGAAAUGGAGGAACAAAUAUUUUGGAUGUAAUCCUUUUGAAUAAGAGUUAGAUACAUAUAUUAAACUAUCAUGCCUAUUUUGUUA
Long non-coding RNA from Ricinus communis (castor bean), 389 nucleotides. RefSeq lists it as uncharacterized. The record is from RefSeq and is a predicted model, not a curated record. NCBI's taxonomy places the organism in Eukaryota, Viridiplantae, Streptophyta, Magnoliopsida, Malpighiales, Euphorbiaceae. The transcript is spliced from 2 exons.